This 852-nucleotide ribosomal RNA is filed under the name uncultured archaeon. RNAcentral's name for it is "bacterial SSU rRNA". It matches the Rfam family "Archaeal small subunit ribosomal RNA", at positions 46 to 902 of the family's 1478-position model. The record is from RNAcentral.
AAGCCAUGCGAGUCGAGAGGGUUCGGCCCUCGGCAGACUGCUCAGUAACACGUGGAUAACCUAACCUUAGGUGGAAGAUAACCUCGGGAAACUGAGAAUAAUAUUCCAUAGAUCUAGGAUGCUGGAAUGCAUCUAGAUUGAAAGUUCCGACGCCUAAGGAUGGGUCUGCGGACUAUCAGGUUGUAGUCAGGGUAAAGACCUGACUAGCCUACGACGGAUAUGGGUUGUGAGAGCAAUAGCCCAGAGACGAUAUCUGAGACACGAUAUCGGGCCCUACGGGGCGCAGCAGGCGCGAAAUCUUCACAAUGUGCGAAAGCACGAUGAGGGGAUCCCAAGUGCUGGCACGUAAGUGUCAGCUGUUUCUUAGUCUAAAAAACUGAGAGAGUAAGGGCUGGGUAAGACUGGUGCCAGCCGCCGCGGUAACACCAGCAGCCCAAGUGCUGGCCACGAUUAUUGGGCCUAAAGCGCUCGUAGCCGGGUCAGCAAGUCCCUUGUGAAAUCGGGCCGCCUAACGGUUCGGCGUGCAAGGGAUACUGUUGGUCUUGAGGCCGGGAGAGGUCGGAGGUACUCCUGGGGUAGCGGUGAAAUGCUCUAAUCCUAGGGGGACCACCAGUGGCGAAGGCGUCCGACCAGAACGGACCUGACGGUGAGGGGCGAAGGCUAGGGGAGCGAACGGGAUUAGAUACCCCGGUAGUCCUAGCUGUAAAGCAUGCGGGCCAGGUGUCUGGCGCUCCUUGAGGGCGCUAGGUGCCGGAGGGAAGCCGUUAAGCCCGCCGCCUGGGAAGUACGGCCGCAAGGCUGAAACUUAAAGAAAUUGGCGGGGGAGCACCACAAGAGGUGGGACCUGCGGUA